ACGAACGCUGGCGGCGUGCUUAACACAUGCAAGUCGAGGGCAUUUCCGGGGCAACCUGGGAGUGACCGGCGAACGGGUGCGUAACACGUGAGCGACCUUGCCUCGUGGUGGGGGAUAGCCGGCCCAACGGCCGGGUAAUACCGCAUAUGGUGCUUUCCUCGCAUGGGGAGAGUAGCAAAGCCCUGGAGCAAUCCAGUGGCGCCACAGGGGGGCGUC
This 216-nucleotide ribosomal RNA is filed under the name uncultured bacterium. RNAcentral's name for it is "partial 16S ribosomal RNA". It matches the Rfam family "Bacterial small subunit ribosomal RNA", at positions 29 to 232 of the family's 1533-position model. The record is from RNAcentral.